UCGAAUNCGGUUGAGGUAGAUGGAACGUGACAUGUAGCNGUGAAAUGCUUAGAUAUGUCACAGAACACCAAUUGCGAAGGCAGUCUACUAANCCGUCANUGACSCUGAGGCACGAAAGCGNGGGGAUCAAACAGGAUUAGAUACCCUGGUAGUCCACNCCCUAAACUAUGUUUACUCGACAUUUGACCAUUAGGAUUAGGCGGCUAGCGAANNCGUAAGUAAACCACCUGGGGAGUACGUACGC
Molecule: ribosomal RNA, 244 nt
Filed under: uncultured Cytophagales bacterium
Lineage: Bacteria; Pseudomonadati; Bacteroidota; Sphingobacteriia; Sphingobacteriales
Description: partial 16S ribosomal RNA
Rfam family: Bacterial small subunit ribosomal RNA
Source: RNAcentral